RNAcentral lists this unclassified non-coding RNA (385 nucleotides) under Trichophyton tonsurans. RNAcentral's name for it is "partial contains ITS1 and 5.8S rRNA". The stretch from base 257 to 385 matches the Rfam family "5.8S ribosomal RNA", at positions 1 to 129 of the family's 154-position model. The record is from RNAcentral. Lineage: Eukaryota; Fungi; Ascomycota; Eurotiomycetes; Onygenales; Arthrodermataceae.
AACCGCGGCCGGAGCCGGCCCCCCAGGAUAGGGCUCCUGGAGGUCAGGGGUGAUUGAUGUGCGCCGGCCGUACCGCCCCAUUCUUGUCUACCUUACUCGGUUGCCUCGGCGGGCCGCGCUCUCCCAGGAGAGCCGUUCGGCGAGCCUCUCUUUAUAGCGGCUCAACGCUGGACCGCGCCCGCCGGAGGACAGACGCAAAAAAAAAUUCUUUCAGAAGAGCUGUCAGUCUGAGCGUUAGCAAGCAAAAAUCAGUUAAAACUUUCAACAACGGAUCUCUUGGUUCCGGCAUCGAUGAAGAACGCAGCGAAAUGCGAUAACUAAUGUGAAUUGCAGAAUUCCGUGAAUCAUCGAAUCUUUGAACGCACAUUGCGCCCCCUGGCAUUCC